GAAGAAGCUUCGACUAAGGUUCGAUUCGAGCGCAGCGAGAAAGCGUUGCCGCAGGCAACGACCCGAAGGGUGAGGAGCGGAGCGACGAAUAAUCCUUCCCCCACCACCA
This 109-nucleotide small RNA is filed under the name Salmonella enterica. RNAcentral describes it as "partial RtT sRNA". It matches the Rfam family "RtT RNA", at positions 24 to 130 of the family's 130-position model. Rfam says of the family: This family represents a bacterial cis-regulatory element known as RtT RNA. The exact function of RtT is unknown although it is thought that it may be involved in changing the cellular response in relation to amino acid starvation. The record is from RNAcentral. Lineage: Bacteria; Pseudomonadati; Pseudomonadota; Gammaproteobacteria; Enterobacterales; Enterobacteriaceae.